UUAAUUGAAACCAAAAUAGAGGUAUAUUACUGUUAAUGAUAUUAUUGAAGAGAAUUCCAAUUAAA
Molecule: transfer RNA, 65 nt
Filed under: Cataclysta lemnata
Lineage: Eukaryota; Metazoa; Arthropoda; Insecta; Lepidoptera; Crambidae
Description: tRNA-Asn
Source: RNAcentral